Molecule: long non-coding RNA, 212 nt
Filed under: Gallus gallus (chicken)
Lineage: Eukaryota; Metazoa; Chordata; Aves; Galliformes; Phasianidae
Description: long non-coding RNA NONGGAT002147
Source: RNAcentral
CACACGUGCUAUUCUUCUGCCAAGUGGCACCUGCACAUCUUACAGGGAAUCGCCAGUGGUUUCACCCUCCCUGCAUCUCAGCAGGUGACAAUAGCACGGUAACUGCCACUCAGUGCCACCAUUUGGCAUCUCCCUGAAACCACAAAGCCACAUAACAGCAUUCCCAGUCUACAAGUAAGAUCCAUGAGGGUGAAAUCCUAACCUGUCCGGAG